Molecule: small RNA, 153 nt
Filed under: Caldicellulosiruptor owensensis
Lineage: Bacteria; Bacillati; Bacillota; Caldicellulosiruptorales; Caldicellulosiruptoraceae
Also listed under: 1 other name
Description: c-di-AMP sequence
Rfam family: c-di-AMP riboswitch aptamer (ydaO/yuaA leader)
About the family: This family represents a conserved RNA structure found upstream of the ydaO and yuaA genes in Bacillus subtilis and related genes in other bacteria. The ydaO/yuaA element is thought to act as a genetic "off" switch for the ydaO and yuaA genes in its native state. It is believed that the element may be triggered during osmotic shock leading to activation of ydaO, a predicted amino acid transporter gene, and members of the yuaA-yubG operon which code for KtrA and KtrB K+ transporters.
Source: RNAcentral
AUAUCAAAAAAGCUGAAUUCCUGUGGUAAUAUCCACAGGAUAGGGGGGACCCACUUUUUUGGGGUGAAUCAAGGUAUUUUGCCUUGUAGGGCAAAUAUACCCUUUCUGCCCGAACCCGUCAGCUAACCCCCGAAGCUUUGAAAGGGAGGUAUG